AUCAACUCUUGUAUUGUGUCCUGGCUGAGUUCUUGUGAAGCUGUAGUCUGUAUUAACCAGUUGUUUCUGUGUUGGUGGAAUGGGUCCUCGUGGGCCUGGAGGACCAGGUUGGGGAGGCCCUGGCCCUGGUUCUUGGGGGCCUUGGUUUGGUGGCUUCUUCGGAUCCUGGUAAGUUGAAUCCACAGCUACUAACAGAAAUUUAAACUAAUGCAUUUUUGCCAGUGAAAACAUCAAUUUACUAUCAAGUCACCAUCUCCAACAGAAAAGGGAAAGCAAUUCAUUCAGUUAGAUGGUUAGUGGUUUAGUGGUCAACUCAAUCAAAUUGCAAUAUAUAAGUGGCGAAGCAUACAUUAGUCGAUCGUUUAUAUUUCUUCCUUUGAAGUUUUUUUCCCUGUUUGAAACAGAUAGUUUAUAUUCUCUGAAACUCAAGACGAAUACUUCUUGUGCAGCUUCUACCUCCUCUGUUGUUGCUGCCUGCUCCAAGACUGCUGCGCCCCAUUCUUCGGACCCCCGGGCCCAGGCGGCUCACCACCACCACCCUUCUGAUAGCAGCCCAGCAUAUCCACCACAACGAAUAAUGCAGGCCUAAAUGUUGGCUCAAGAGCUUACUUGUGUGAACAUCCUGGCUGUUGAGAGUACCCCUUGCUACAGUAGUACACACACUACUGAAAAUAAUUGUCCUGUAUCUCUUGGAGAUGACUGUAUGCAGUCUUACCUAGUUACGUGGCACUUAUAUUGUUUGUACUGACUAAAUGCAAUUAUCGGUUACAUUUUGUUGGUGCUAUUUCUAGAUGGUUUUUGUAGAUUCAGUUCUUUACAUAAUUUUUGCCGGGCAGGUGUUCUAAUUUUACCAUAUGCUGUUGGAGGAUAUAUGUGUUGAUUAGAUUAGAUCAUACCAUACCAUAAACUUAAUUUGACACAAUUUUACUUUACAUACACCUUUUUUUGUUUAGCAUGUACUGAGUAGAGGCGAGGGUUGCAUGUUUACCUUGCCGGCGCCUUCAAAGGAAAUGGUCGAUGGUGAUGGCCUUACUCAUAUUUCAGUAUGAACCAUUUCGCCUUCAUGUAAGGAGUGCAGUACUGUCUCUUUUGGUUUGUUCUGCUACUCCACUCUUGCAUAUUUCUUCUGGGAAUCUCUGCACAAAUAUCAGAGUAGCCAAUUUGCACAAUAUGUUUCAGCACAUAGGAAAAUAUUGACCAAAAUAUUUGGAACUGACAUAUUGACCAAAAUUCCUCCUUUUUUUGCCUUUACUUCUGAGAGCUUGAAUGAUGGAGAUAGAUAAUUUGCACUGACCCAUUUCAAAGGAAAUGGUCGAUGGUGUUAUAUGUUGCUUAUAAUUUUGCGACGGGUCUUACUCAUAUUUCACCAUGAAAACCAUUUCACCUUCAUAUAAGGAGUGCACUAUUGUUUCAGACCUUGUUGCCUUGUUGGCAUUAGAAUGCAGUUUUGUUGCUAAUAGUACAACAAAAUUUCUGUUUCUCAAUUACCAAUAUUUCUUCUAGGAAUCUGUGCACCAAUAUUAGAUUAGCCAACUUGCACAAUAUGUUUCAGUUCCACCCUAGGAACUUACAUAUUGACCAAAAUUCCUCCCUUUUUGCCUUUACUUUUGAGAGGGAGAAUGAUGGAGAUAGAUAAUUUGCACUGAAUCAAUC
RNAcentral lists this long non-coding RNA (1653 nucleotides) under Triticum aestivum (bread wheat). RNAcentral's name for it is "long non-coding RNA (TAES_LNC000763)". Lineage: Eukaryota; Viridiplantae; Streptophyta; Magnoliopsida; Poales; Poaceae. The record is from RNAcentral.